This 870-nucleotide ribosomal RNA is filed under the name uncultured Curvibacter sp. RNAcentral describes it as "bacterial SSU rRNA". It matches the Rfam family "Bacterial small subunit ribosomal RNA", at positions 8 to 878 of the family's 1533-position model. The record is from RNAcentral. Lineage: Bacteria; Pseudomonadati; Pseudomonadota; Betaproteobacteria; Burkholderiales; Comamonadaceae.
AGAGUUUGAUCAUGGCUCAGAUUGAACGCUGGCGGAAUGCUUUACACAUGCAAGUCGAACGGUAGAGGGGGCAACCCCUUGAGAGUGGCGAACGGGUGAGUAAUAUAUCGGAACGUGCCCAGUCGUGGGGGAUAACGUAGCGAAAGUUACGCUAAUACCGCAUACGAUCUAAGGAUGAAAGCGGGGGAUCGCAAGACCUCGCGCGAUUGGAGCGGCCGAUAUCAGAUUAGGUAGUUGGUGGGGUAAAGGCUCACCAAGCCAACGAUCUGUAGCUGGUCUGAGAGGACGACCAGCCACACUGGAACUGAGACACGGUCCAGACUCCUACGGGGGGCAGCAGUGGGGAAUUUUGGACAAUGGACGCAAGUCUGAUCCAGCCAUUCCGCGUGCAGGAUGAAGGCCCUCGGGUUGUAAACUGCUUUUGUACGGAACGAAAAGGUUUCCAUUAAUACUGGGGGCUCAUGACGGUACCGUAAGAAUAAGCACCGGCUAACUACGUGCCAGCAGCCGCGGUAAUACGUAGGGUGCAAGCGUUAAUCGGAAUUACUGGGCGUAAAGCGUGCGCAGGCGGUUAUGUAAGACAGAGGUGAAAUCCCCGGGCUCAACCUGGGAACUGCCUUUGUGACUGCAUAGCUAGAGUACGGUAGAGGGGGAUGGAAUUCCGCGUGUAGCAGUGAAAUGCGUAGAUAUGCGGAGGAACACCGAUGGCGAAGGCAAUCCCCUGGACCUGUACUGACGCUCAUGCACGAAAGCGUGGGGAGCAAACAGGAUUAGAUACCCUGGUAGUCCACGCCCUAAACGAUGUCAACUGGUUGUUGGGUCUUCACUGACUCAGUAACGAAGCUAACGCGUGAAGUUGACCGCCUGGGG